GGCCACAGCCAUAUCACCCUGCAGCCCAAAACCGGUUACUCACUGAAGCUAAGCAGGGCUGAGUCAGGUCAGUGUCUGGAUGGGAGACCACUAGGGAACACUAGGUUGCUGUUGGAA
This 117-nucleotide ribosomal RNA is filed under the name Danio rerio (zebrafish). The record is from RNAcentral. Lineage: Eukaryota; Metazoa; Chordata; Actinopteri; Cypriniformes; Danionidae.